GAAGCAGCCAUUGGGUUUAUAGUUAAGUUUAAAAACAUAAUGGAUUCAUUUGAGGAGUCUGCUAAUUUGGGGCCACAAAACGGAAGACACAUCAGGAGAAUGAAUUCACUGCCGUGAGCCAUGUCCUCAGGGGAUAUGAUUCAGCAACUGUGAGGUCCAGCAAGGACAACUGGAUCCUGUUGGUUUCAUCAACAGCCUGGACUAUUCUGCCCGAGGGAGAGCAGUCAGUAACAGGUAUGGGUCACCACCCCUGCCAGCCUGGGAGACGAUCACAAGCGUACGAGUGUAUACAUUACUUUUCUGUUGCGGUGAUGAAACACCACAAACCAAAGGGAACUUAGGAGAAAGUUUAUUUUGCCUUAUGUUUCCAGAAGGAAUCCACAAUGGCCAAGCGGAGACCUGGCAGCAAGGAGCAGGUGUGGCAGCAGGAACAAGAAUUGGGAGCUUGUAUCCUCAACCCAAGCACAGGGCGGGGAAAGCAGACUGGGAACGGUGUGGAUCUUUUCACUCUCAAAGCCUGACUCCAGUGACAUACUUCGUCCCACAAGGCAACGCCUCCUAAACCUCCCCUAGACAGCAUCACCAACUGGUGACCAAGUAGUCAAAUACAUGAGCCUAUGGGGGACAUUCUCAUUCGAACCACCAUGAUGAGUAAGCCCAACACAAGUCAGAGGAAGACCACCCAGCUGAUUCUGCCCAGAUUACCCAUCCACAGAAACAAGGGCUCAGCAAUGUCUGGGAUGGUUUGUUACGCAGCAAAACUAACAGAUACACCUCCUUGAGCUCCAGGGUUUUUGCAAGCGCUGUUCUUUGUGUGGGACACUCCUUUUACUUCCUCUGCUUAGAUGAUUUUUAUUCAUCGCAGCUCAGGGAAGUUUUCUCUGGUCUUGAUUCAUUCACCCCCUCCCUCAGAGUCUCUCUCUCUCUCUCUC
Molecule: long non-coding RNA, 932 nt
Filed under: Cricetulus griseus (Chinese hamster)
Lineage: Eukaryota; Metazoa; Chordata; Mammalia; Rodentia; Cricetidae
Description: lncRNA (ENSCGRG00000026379.1)
Source: RNAcentral